Molecule: ribosomal RNA, 870 nt
Filed under: uncultured bacterium
Lineage: Bacteria
Description: bacterial SSU rRNA
Rfam family: Bacterial small subunit ribosomal RNA
Source: RNAcentral
GGUUAGAUAAGUNUGAAGUUAAAGGCUGUGGCUUAACCAUAGUACGCUUUGGAAACUGUUUAACUUGAGUGCAGAAGGGGAGAGUGGAAUUCCAUGUGUAGCGGUGAAAUGCGUAGAUAUAUGGAGGAACACCGGUGGCGAAAGCGGCUCUCUGGUCUGUAACUGACGCUGAGGCUCGAAAGCGUUGGUAGCGAACAGGAUUAGAUACCCUGGUAGUCCACGCCGUAAACGAUGAGUGCUAGGUGUUAGGCCCUUUCCGGGGCUUAGUGCCGGAGCUAACGCAAUAAGCACUCCGCCUGGGGAGUACGACCGCAAGGUUGAAACUCAAAGGAAUUGACGGGGGCCCGCACAAGCGGUGGAGCAUGUGGUUUAAUUCGAAGCAACGCGAAGAACCUUACCAGGUCUUGACAUCCCGAUGCUAUUCUUAGAGAUAGGAAGUUACUUCGGUACAUCGGAGACAGGUGGUGCAUGGUUGUCGUCAGCUCGUGUCGUGAGAUGUUGGGUUAAGUCCCGCAACGAGCGCAACCCUUAUUGUUAGUUGCCAUCAUUAAGUUGGGCACUCUAGCGAGACUGCCGGUAAUAAACCGGAGGAAGGUGGGGAUGACGUCAAAUCAUCAUGCCCCUUAUGACCUGGGCUACACACGUGCUACAAUGGUCGGUACAACGAGUUGCGAGCCGGUGACGGCAAGCUAAUCUCUGAAAGCCGAUCUCAGUUCGGAUUGGAGGCUGCAACUCGCCUCCAUGAAGUCGGAAUCGCUAGUAAUCGCGGAUCUGCACGCCGCGGUGAAUACGUUCCCGGGCCUUGUACACACCGCCCGUCACACCACGAGAGUUUGUAACACCCGAAGUCGGUGAGGUANCCUUUUAGGG